Molecule: long non-coding RNA, 1329 nt
Filed under: Capra hircus (goat)
Lineage: Eukaryota; Metazoa; Chordata; Mammalia; Artiodactyla; Bovidae
Description: lncRNA (ENSCHIG00010022489.1)
Source: RNAcentral
GCACUCCCGCCUCCUCCAGUCCGCACUCCCUCCUGUGGUGCCCAGACCCUCUGCCCCCUGUCCCUGCCUGCCUCCUGUAGGUGGACUGGUGGACCCCAGAGAACCUUCCAGGGGGUGCGAGUCCCUUCCAUUCCUGGGACCAUGCUGUCACAAGUCCAGCAGGUUUCCAUCUUGGUCGCCGUUAGGCGCGUGCAUGGGAGUGGCAGGUAAGAGCUGCCCACGCGAGCCCAGGGGCGGUCCAAACACUGCCGAGGACCCCAGAAGGCAGGCUCUGAGCCCUGAAGCCAGGCCUAGUAUUUUGCCCUGAUCGCGCCCCCAUCACCAAAAUUAAUAAUCCCUUCUGUGCUCUGGGGGCUGUGUUGGUGCUGGGGGAUAGCGUGACAAUGCAUAUUAAUGUCAGGCCAUGGCUAUGGAGCUGGGCAUCUACGGGCUGUACACAUCUUUAAUGUAAACUUCCCAGCAACCCUAUGAGUCAGCUACUAUUUGGUUCCCAUUUUACAGAUGAGGAAACUAAGGCAUGGAGAGGUAAGUGAGUUGACUAAGGUGGUACAAGAGGUGGACCCCAAGUUCAAGUGCCCCCACUGUGAGCUGCCUGCUGCCCACUCCUCUUCCACCUUCCGAAAGGCUCUCUGCCUUGGUCCACUCUCACCAGUGUCACGUGCCACGUUCUUUCCAGGCAGGGUGUUCUUAUUUCUAAUCCUUAAUCUUAAGCCCACUUCUGCUGGUUCUGCCCUCCCGAGGUUAUCUUUGUUCAUGGUCCCACGUGAAUGGGGAAGGACACCUUCCUCUUCCUGGCUCCGCCCGUUUCUCCAGGCCCACUGCCACUGUCCCCACCUUGGGACAGACCCUCAUCAUUUCCACCAGCCCCCUCCCCUAGGCUCCCCUGUCUCUCUCCCUCCGGUCUGUCCUUAGAGCUGUGGCAAUGAGUGCUUGUCCCAAAAUGGGGAUCUGACCACAGCAUCCAUUCCCUGGGAGCCCCUCCUGGCUCCACAUCGGCUGGGGGAUAAAAUCUGGACUCUGGAGUGUGAGGUCCAGAGUCCCUCCUGUGUGGCCCCUCCCUCCUCAGGGCUCCAGCUCUUGCCCCACCUGCACAGGCCCCUCUAUCAGCACUUCCCAGAAGGCCAGUCCCCUGGAGGGUCUGGCCCUUGAUAAAGUGUUCAGCAGUCAGCAAUAAAGCAAGAAAAUCAAAGGACAGUGAGAUACAGAAAAUCGAUCAGGACACAUCGGCCAAGUUACCAGCUGCCCUAUCUUGGUCACAGUAUCUUAUAUUCUAAGUGUUCUAUCUUUUAUUUUUUAAUAGUUAAAAUACUUCUCUCAUAAAGCAGUGCU